Molecule: ribosomal RNA, 253 nt
Filed under: uncultured bacterium
Lineage: Bacteria
Description: partial 16S ribosomal RNA
Rfam family: Bacterial small subunit ribosomal RNA
Source: RNAcentral
UACGUAGGGUGCAAGCGUUGCUCGGAAUUAUUGGGCGUAAAGAGCUCGUAGGCGGUCUGUCGCGUCUGCUGUGAAAACUCGGGGCUUAACCCCGGGCCUGCAGUGGGUACGGGCAGACUAGAGUGCGGUAGGGGAGACUGGAAUUCCUGGUGUAGCGGUGAAAUGCGCAGAUAUCAGGAGGAACACCGGUGGCGAAGGCGGGUCUCUGGGCCGUAACUGACGCUGAGGAGCGAAAGCAUGGGGAGCGAACAGG